This 77-nucleotide transfer RNA is filed under the name Candidatus Thorarchaeota archaeon. RNAcentral describes it as "tRNA-Phe". It matches the Rfam family "tRNA". From Rfam's summary of the family: Transfer RNA (tRNA) molecules are approximately 80 nucleotides in length. Their secondary structure includes four short double-helical elements and three loops (D, anti-codon, and T loops). Further hydrogen bonds mediate the characteristic L-shaped molecular structure. tRNAs have two regions of fundamental functional importance: the anti-codon, which is responsible for specific mRNA codon recognition, and the 3' end, to which the tRNAs corresponding amino acid is attached (by aminoacyl-tRNA synthetases). tRNAs cope with the degeneracy of the genetic code in two manners: having more than one tRNA (with a specific anti-codon) for a particular amino acid; and 'wobble' base-pairing, i.e. permitting non-standard base-pairing at the 3rd anti-codon position. Lineage: Archaea; Promethearchaeati; Candidatus Thorarchaeota. The record is from RNAcentral.
GCCGAGGUAGAUUAGCCUGGGAGAUCGCGCGGCUGAAGACCGCGUCGUCGAGUGUUCGAAUCACUCCCUCGGCACCA